GUAGGUGGCAAGCGUUAUCCGGAAUUAUUGGGCGUAAAGCGCGCGCAGGCGGUUUCUUAAGUCUGAUGUGAAAGCUCACGGCUCAACCGUGGAGGGUCAUUGGAAACUGGGGAACUUGAGUGCAGAAGAGAAAAGCGGAAUUCCACGUGUAGCGGUGAAAUGCGUAGAGAUGUGGAGGAACACCAGUGGCGAAGGCGGCUUUUUGGUCUGUAACUGACGCUGAGGCGCGAAAGCGUGGGGAGCAAACAGGGAUUAGAUACCCUGGUAGUCCACGCCGUAAACGAUGAGUGCUAAGUGUUAGAGGGUUUUCCGCCCCUUUAGUGCUGCAGCUAACGCAUUAAGCACUCCGCCUGGGAGUACGGUCGCAAGACUG
Molecule: ribosomal RNA, 373 nt
Filed under: uncultured organism
Description: partial 16S ribosomal RNA
Rfam family: Bacterial small subunit ribosomal RNA
Source: RNAcentral